RNAcentral lists this ribosomal RNA (253 nucleotides) under uncultured bacterium. Its description in RNAcentral is "partial 16S ribosomal RNA". It matches the Rfam family "Bacterial small subunit ribosomal RNA", at positions 524 to 776 of the family's 1533-position model. The record is from RNAcentral.
UACGAAGGGGGCUAGCGGUGUUCGGAAUUACUGGGCGAAAAGCGCACGUAGGCGGAUUUGUUAGUCAGGGGUGAAAUCCCGGGGCUCAACCUCGGAACUGCCUUUGAUACUGCAAAUCUCGAGUCCGGAAGAGGUGAGUGGAAUUCCUAGUGUAGAGGUGAAAUUCGUAGAUAUUAGGAAGAACACCAGUGGCGAAGGCGGCUCACUGGUCCGGCACUGACGCUGAGGUGCGAAAGCGUGUGGAGCAAACAGG